Molecule: ribosomal RNA, 230 nt
Filed under: uncultured bacterium
Lineage: Bacteria
Description: partial 16S ribosomal RNA
Rfam family: Bacterial small subunit ribosomal RNA
Source: RNAcentral
UCCCAAAAAUAAACGUCCCAGUUCGGAUUGUAGUCUGCAACUCGACUACAUGAAGCUGGAAUCGCUAGUAAUCGCGAAUCAGCAUGUCGCGGUGAAUACGUUCCCGGGUCUUGUACACACCGCCCGUCACACCAUGGGAGUCGGUAACGCCCGAAGUCAGUGACCCAACCGGAAGGAGGGAGCUGCCGAAGGCGGGACUGGUAACUGGGGUGAAGUCGUAACAAGGUACC